UAGGCAGUUACGGUAGGCAAAUCCGCUGUAACGUUAAUGCUGAGGCGUGAUGGGGAAGGCCCUUGAGGCUGAAGUACAUGAUUCCAUGCUUCCAAGAAAAGCAUCUAGAGAGAGAAGUAGUGCCCGUACCGCAAACCGACACAGGUAGAUGAGGAGAGAAUCCUAAGGCCGGCGGAAGAAUUGCAGUUAAGGAACUAGGCAAAUUGACCCCGUAAGUUAGCGAGAAGGGGUGCCUGCGAGAGCAGGCCGCAGAGAAUAGGCCCAAGCAACUGUUUAGCAAAAACACAGGUCUCUGCUAAAGCGCAAGCUGAUGUAUAGGGGCUGACGCCUGCCCGGUGCUGGAAGGUUAAGGGGAACACUUAGCGCAAGCGAAGGUGUGAACUUAAGCCCCAGUAAACGGCGGCCGUAACCAUAACGGUCCUAAGGUAGCGAAAUUCCUUGUCAGGUAAGUUCUGACCCGCACGAAUGGCGUAAUGACUUGGGCACUGUCUCAACUGCAAAUCCGGCGAAGUUGUAGUGCGAGUGAAGAUGCUCGCUACCCGCGAUUGGACGGAAAGACCCCGUAGAGCUUUACUGUAGCUUAGCAUUGAAUUCCGGUAUUGUCUGUACAGGAUAGGUGGGAGACUGGGAAACUAGGGCGUCAGCCUUAGUGGAGUCGUCCUUGGGAUACCACCCUGACAGUACUGGGGUUCUAACAGGACGCCAUGAAUCUGGUGACUGGACAUUGUUAGGUGGGCAGUUUGACUGGGGCGGUCGCCUCCUAAAAAGUAACGGAGGCGCCCAAAGGUUCCCUCAGAACGGUCGGAAAUCGUUCGUAGAGUGCAAAGGCAGAAGGGAGCCUGACUGCGAGACCUACAAGUCGAGCAGGGACGAAAGUCGGGCUUAGUGAUCCGGUGGUACCUCGUGGGAGGGCCAUCGCUCAACGGAUAAAAGCUACCUCGGGGAUAGCAGGCUGAUCUCCCCCAAGAGUCCACAUCGACGGGGAGGUUUGGCACCUCGAUGUCGGCUCGUCGCAUCCUGGGGCUGUAGUAGGUCCCAAGGGUUGGGCUGUUCGCCCAUUAAAGCGGCACGCGAGCUGGGUUCAGAACGUCGUGAGACAGUUCGGUCCCUAUCCGUCGCGGGCGUAGGAAAUUUGAGAGGAGCUGUCCUUAGUACGAGAGGACCGGGAUGGACUGACCUCUGGUGCACCAGUUGUUCUGCCAAGAGCAUGGCUGGGUAGCUAAGUCGGGAAGGGAUAAACGCUGAAAGCAUCUAAGCGUGAAGCCUCCCUCAAGAUGAGAUUUCCCAUAGCAUAAGCUAGUAAGACCCCUUGAAGAACACGAGGUUGAUAGGUCAGAGGUGUAAGUGUGGUAACAUAUUUAGCUGACUGAUACUAAUAGGUCGAGGGCUUGACC
Molecule: ribosomal RNA, 1394 nt
Filed under: metagenome
Description: bacterial LSU rRNA
Rfam family: Bacterial large subunit ribosomal RNA
Source: RNAcentral